Long non-coding RNA from Papaver somniferum (opium poppy), 1538 nucleotides. RefSeq lists it as uncharacterized. The transcript is spliced from 4 exons. NCBI's taxonomy places the organism in Eukaryota, Viridiplantae, Streptophyta, Magnoliopsida, Ranunculales, Papaveraceae. The record is from RefSeq and is a predicted model, not a curated record.
CUGUUCUUAAGAAGUGAGUUGUUUUCGUGUGAGUUAUUCAUAGAAACUUGUUAGUAAGUUGUUAUGAAAGGGGAGAUGUUUAUUCUGUCGUUGAAUUAGAUCGUGAAGAAAAGAAAAAGAUGAUUUAGAUAUUGAAUUGAGGUUAGGGUUUCUGGAAUUAGGGUUCUUGUAGAACUGAUGAUGAUAAAGUGACAUUCUUGGAUGAAGAGAAGAGGGGUUGUUGUUGAUUUGAUGAAAUGAAGCUAUUCUGAUGCUGAAUCGAAAUCAGGUGAUUGCGGAAGUAGCAGAAGCGUCGAUUGAAGAUUAUGAGACUGGCAUGCAAGGUUGCAAUGAAGCUGCAAAGAUAUGGAUGCAGGUUAGAUUAUUGUUUUUUGUUGCUUAGAAGUUUAGAUUUAAUUGAGCUUUCAAAAAUCAUGUGUCGUACAUGCUUCCCUGUUCUGCAAGAACCAUGUGCUGCAAUGUUGAACUGCAUGACAUCUUAACCUCAGUUGCACGUGGUUAAGAUGUCAUUUUGUUUGCUUGGGGGAGGUGUUGGAGCCCAAAUAUCAAUAGUUGAGAAAAGUUUAAGGUUUUUUUAUUUUUUUGUAGCAUGCAAGUGAAUGCUGCUUUCGGAUAUCAUUUCUGCCAAUUUUUGUAAUACUACUAUUAUUCUACUGAUUUGUCAUAUUUUUAUGCUACUUUACUUCUAUUAAUCUCUACCUCUGAUUUUGUUAAAUCGCACCUUCAUUUUACUGUCCGGAAAAACAACCAUAUUCUCAGGCUUGAAGGUUCUUCUAAUAGGGGUCUUUACCUCGAGGUACUUUACUCCGUUGAUUAUGAUUCAUUAACAUCGCCAGUCUGUGAAAUUAAAGAUGGUGAUAUUGAAAUGGAUUACCCAGCCACGUGUACAAAGCUUACGUGGCAGAAUAGACGAGUUGGAUAGUGAGGUGGACGAUUUAACUGCUGACAUGGAGGUUAACUAUCCGUUAGCCGUUUUUUCAAAAUAACGGUCAAAACAGGAGUACAUUUGUAAAAGUGAAAAAAACGGGGGUACAUUUGUAUGCGCACAAAAAAAUAGGGGGUUUUGGAAUUUCUGGUGUGGUUCAUAACUUCAUAUGGACCGAUCGUUCGGUCAACAACAAACAACAACAGUCAAGCUGCAAAUGAAGUUGGUUCCUCUAUUCACCCAACAUUUGUACCUGCACCAACUGCUAAUGCUCAACAAGCUACACCAGGGGAUCCAACCGAAGAUACAACUGCUGCUGGUGAUGUAGCCGCGAAGCCGAAAGUCAUUUCAAAAGUUUGGGAAGAUUUUAUAAGGAUAGAUGGAGAAUGGGCACAAUGUAAGCAUUGUACCAAGAAAUUUAAAGCCGGGAGUCAAAAGAACGAUACUUCUAGAUCACGGAAACAUUUGAGGCUUUGCUCUGUUGUCAAAGCUGGUUACAGAACCCAUUGAUCUUGAUCUUCUAGCUGUUUUUUGCUUUGCUUUCUGUUUUUUAUUUAAGUCUUAAACAGUUGAAGUUGUUGACCUUGGAACUUUGAAUAUUUUCUUGCUUUGA